Molecule: ribosomal RNA, 373 nt
Filed under: uncultured organism
Description: bacterial SSU rRNA
Rfam family: Bacterial small subunit ribosomal RNA
Source: RNAcentral
CGGAGGGUGCGAGCGUUGUCCGGAAUCACUGGGCGUAAAGGGCGCGUAGGUGGCCUGUGGAAGUCUGCGGUGAAAGCCCGGCGCUCAACGCCGGGUCGGCCGUGGAUACUCUCGGGCUCGAGCUCACUAGAGGCAGAUGGAAUUCCGGGUGUAGCGGUGGAAUGCGUAGAGAUCCGGAAGAACACCGGUGGCGAAGGCGGUCUGCUGGGGUGAUGCUGACACUGAUGCGCGACAGCGUGGGGAGCAAACAGGAUUAGAUACCCUGGUAGUCCACGCCGUAAACGAUGGGCACUAGAUGCUUGGGGGAGCGACCCCCUGAGUGUCGUCGCUAACGCAUUAAGUGCCCCGCCUGGGGAGUACGGCCGCAAGGCUG